AAACGAUGAGUGCUAAGUGUUAGGGGGUUUCCGCCCCUUAGUGCUGCAGCUAACGCAUUAAGCACUCCGCCUGGGGAGUACGGUCGCAAGACUGAAACUCAAAGGAAUUGACGGGGGCCCGCACAAGCGGUGGAGCAUGUGGUUUAAUUCGAAGCAACGCGAAGAACCUUACCAGGUCUUGACAUCCUCUGACAAUCCUAGAGAUAGGACGUCCCCUUCGGGGGCAGAGUGACAGGUGGUGCAUGGUUGUCGUCAGCUCGUGUCGUGAGAUGUUGGGUUAAGUCCCGCAACGAGCGCAACCCUUGAUCUUAGUUGCCAGCAUUCAGUUGGGCACUCUAAGGUGACUGCCGGUGACAAGCCGGAGGAAGGUGGGGAUGACGUCAAAUCAUCAUGCCCCUUAUGACCUGGGCUACACACGUGCUACAAUGGGCAGAACAAAGGGCAGCGAGACCGCGAGGUUAAGCCAAUCCCACAAAUCUGUUCUCAGUUCGGAUCGCAGUCUGCAACUCGACUGCGUGAAGCUGGAAUCGCUAGUAAUCGCGGAUCAGCAUGCCGCGGUG
RNAcentral lists this ribosomal RNA (560 nucleotides) under Bacillus sp. (in: firmicutes). RNAcentral describes it as "bacterial SSU rRNA". It matches the Rfam family "Bacterial small subunit ribosomal RNA", at positions 804 to 1364 of the family's 1533-position model. RNAcentral also lists the same sequence under 1 other name. Lineage: Bacteria; Bacillati; Bacillota; Bacilli; Caryophanales; Bacillaceae. The record is from RNAcentral.